GGAAUUCGAUGGCGGACGGGUGAGUAAUGCUUGGGAACUUGCCUUUGCGAGGGGGAUAACAGUUGGAAACGAAUGCUAAUACCGCAUAAUGUCUUCGGACCAAACGGGGCUUCGGCUCCGGCGCAAAGAGAGGCCCAAGUGAGAUUAGCUAGUUGGUAAGGUAACGGCUUACCAAGGCGACGAUCUCUAGCUGUUCUGAGAGGAAGAUCAGCCACACUGGGACUGAGACACGGCCCAGACUCCUACGGGAGGCAGCAGUGGGGAAUAUUGCACAAUGGGGGAAACCCUGAUGCAGCCAUGCCGCGUGUGUGAAGAAGGCCUUCGGGUUGUAAAGCACUUUCAGUUGUGAGGAAAAGUUAGUAGUUAAUACCUGCUAGCCGUGACGUUAACAACAGAAGAAGCACCGGCUAACUCCGUGCCAGCAGCCGCGGUAAUACGGAGGGUGCGAGCGUUAAUCGGAAUUACUGGGCGUAAAGCGCACGCAGGCGGUUUGUUAAGCUAGAUGUGAAAGCCCCGGGCUCAACCUGGGAUGGUCAUUUAGAACUGGCAGACUAGAGUCUUGGAGAGGGGAGUGGAAUUCCAGGUGUAGCGGUGAAAUGCGUAGAUAUCUGGAGGAACAUCAGUGGCGAAGGCGACUCCCUGGCCAAAGACUGACGCUCAUGUGCGAAAGUGUGGGUAGCGAACAGGAUUAGAUACCCUGGUAGUCCACACCGUAAACGCUGUCUACUAGCUGUGUGUGCCUUUGAGGCGUGCGUAGCGAAGCUAACGCGCUAAGUAGACC
This 781-nucleotide ribosomal RNA is filed under the name uncultured Alteromonas sp. RNAcentral's name for it is "bacterial SSU rRNA". It matches the Rfam family "Bacterial small subunit ribosomal RNA", at positions 87 to 870 of the family's 1533-position model. The record is from RNAcentral. Lineage: Bacteria; Pseudomonadati; Pseudomonadota; Gammaproteobacteria; Alteromonadales; Alteromonadaceae.